This 757-nucleotide ribosomal RNA is filed under the name Salmonella enterica subsp. enterica serovar Newport. RNAcentral's name for it is "partial 23S ribosomal RNA". It matches the Rfam family "Bacterial large subunit ribosomal RNA", at positions 2164 to 2915 of the family's 2925-position model. Lineage: Bacteria; Pseudomonadati; Pseudomonadota; Gammaproteobacteria; Enterobacterales; Enterobacteriaceae. The record is from RNAcentral.
GUGGACGCCAGUCUGCGUGGAGCCGACCUUGAAAUACCACCCUUUAAUGUUUGAUGUUCUAACGUGGACCCGUUACCCGGGUUGCGGACAGUGUCUGGUGGGUAGUUUGACUGGGGCGGUCUCCUCCUAAAGAGUAACGGAGGAGCACGAAGGUUGGCUAAUCCUGGUCGGACAUCAGGAGGUUAGUGCAAUGGCAUAAGCCAGCUUGACUGCGAGCGUGACGGCGCGAGCAGGUGCGAAAGCAGGUCAUAGUGAUCCGGUGGUUCUGAAUGGAAGGGCCAUCGCUCAACGGAUAAAAGGUACUCCGGGGAUAACAGGCUGAUACCGCCCAAGAGUUCAUAUCGACGGCGGUGUUUGGCACCUCGAUGUCGGCUCAUCACAUCCUGGGGCUGAAGUAGGUCCCAAGGGUAUGGCUGUUCGCCAUUUAAAGUGGUACGCGAGCUGGGUUUAGAACGUCGUGAGACAGUUCGGUCCCUAUCUGCCGUGGGCGCUGGAGAACUGAGGGGGGCUGCUCCUAGUACGAGAGGACCGGAGUGGACGCAUCACUGGUGUUCGGGUUGUCAUGCCAAUGGCACUGCCCGGUAGCUAAAUGCGGAAGAGAUAAGUGCUGAAAGCAUCUAAGCACGAAACUUGCCCCGAGAUGAGUUCUCCCUGAGACUUAGAGUCUCCUGAAGGAACGUUGAAGACGACGACGUUGAUAGGCCGGGUGUGUAAGCGCAGCGAUGCGUUGAGCUAACCGGUACUAAUGAACCGUGAG